This is a long non-coding RNA of Corvus moneduloides (New Caledonian crow), 1386 nucleotides long. The record is from Ensembl. Lineage: Eukaryota; Metazoa; Chordata; Aves; Passeriformes; Corvidae.
UCUGUUUUCAUUGUCUGGUACCCUGGAUGAAGGGCUCUCCGUGUGGGACUGAUACAACCACCGCCUGCUUCUGGAAGUUGGUUUUACCUGGGGCUGCAGGAUGUUAGGGGAAGAUGGGUGAGAUGGAGAGUCACUGCCUGGGACACACAUCAGAAUGGAGUCAGAGAGCAAGUUGUUUUAUUCAACCAUGCACAUAUCUAGAUAAAUACCAAUCAUGAUGAUGGCCUUGCUGAAGAUUAUGGCCCUGUUAUGGCUGAUGUGUGAACACAUAUCAGCCUUACCAUCCUCCUCUAAUGCCCAAACAGAAGUAAGAGAUGGCAGAAACUCUAUGGAAAGUCCGAGACAGAAAUUUUAUUCAACACUGAUGACCAUAAAAAAUGCCUGGGAAUCUCAUUCCUUUGUUGUUCAAAAUUUGAGGAGCAUAUUAGUACAUCAUUAAUGAGAUCCAGAGACUUUUGCUCUUUCUCUAUGCCAUCUUCCACUCUCAUUUUAGAUCAUGGAGCUCUCCAGCAGUCUUGAACACACUUCAUCAGAAAGCACCAGGACAAAUCUCUUUAGUUUUUCUGUUCCUUGGGUAAAGUGGGAGAGAUAGAACAGAGACUUAGUGAAUGGAUUUUAAACCAACACUCCACAUUAAAACACAAGUUUCUAAAGCUGUGCAUAAUAAUACUAUUUCUGAUUAGUGACAACCUCAUUAGACAAAGCAGAGGUUCUUUUACUUCCAUUCUUCACUUCUUGUUUUCCUUGUAUCCCAUGCAUACAUCCUUCCUUAGAAAAGCAGAAGCCUUCUAAGACUCUCCUGUGGCAUUUUUAUCCAAAUUAUCUGGUAUGUGGGGAAGCUUCCAUCCUACCUAUUUUGGUAGAAAAUAUAGCAUCAAAGUCGCAUUUGACAAAAUUAACAUUACUAGUAGAAAUGAUGUCAUUAUCAGAUGGAACCACUACUUGAUUUUUAGACAUCGAUGGCCUCUAAACUCUCUCUAUAGUACUUCCAUAGGGUAUCUAUCACUCUGUACAGUGUAUGCAUCGCAAAACAGAGCGACUCCACUCCCGUGUGUUCAGACAGCGUGGACGCAACGUUACAAUCCCAAAACACGCUCGCAAAACCACAUGGUUCUCACUCCAGCCCCGCCUGCUCCAGGAGCGCAUCUCCGGCAUCGGUCAGCACCGGGUGAUCAGGGACGGACUGCGAAGAGUAGGCAAGCCCCAAGCAGGCUCUCUCGGUUCCCAGACAGUCCCCGCAUCAGGAAAACAAUGAACAGGAUGAAACCUGGAAGCUUUUUGCUGCUCUGUUGAAUAUGGAAUUAUUAAAAAAAAAAAAAAUACUGCACCGAGAGCAUCUCUUUCAAAUGGAUAACUUCUGAACCUGGAACUCUUCAUUACCAACUU